Molecule: long non-coding RNA, 375 nt
Filed under: Musa acuminata (dwarf banana)
Lineage: Eukaryota; Viridiplantae; Streptophyta; Magnoliopsida; Zingiberales; Musaceae
Description: long non-coding RNA (MACU_LNC010151)
Source: RNAcentral
CGCAACCCACCGCAACCUUGCUUCCCUUCUUCCCACCACCACUACAAGGCAACUCUUUCUUCACCGUUGUCGUUGUUUCCCCGGCCAGCGACCUUCGACCACCGCUCAACCUUCUCGCUGCCCCAUCUCGCUUUAAUAAAAAAAAAAAAAAAAAAAGGAGAAAGAAAAGAAGAAACACGAGAGGAAGAAGAAGCCGCAGCCACGCCUGCGUCCCCUGCUUCCGGCCAGCCCACCCGCCGCUGCUGCUCUCCGGCCAGCGCCCACCAUCGCCCCGCUUCCCGGCCGGCGACCACCACCGCCGCUGUUCCCCGGCCAGGAGACGACGCUGCCAGCGUCCAUCCCAGCCCUACUGCCGCCGCCCGCCUCCCCUUGCGU